UGGGGAAUAUUGGACAAUGGGCGAAAGCCUGAUCCAGCCAUGCCGCGUGUGUGAAGAAGGUCUUCGGAUUGUAAAGCACUUUAAGUUGGGAGGAAGGUCAGUAAGCGAAUACCUUGCUGUUUUGACGUUACCGACAGAAUAAGCACCGGCUAACUCUGUGCCAGCAGCCGCGGUAAUACAGAGGGUGCAAGCGUUAAUCGGAAUUACUGGGCGUAAAGCGCGCGUAGGUGGUUCGUUAAGUUGAAUGUGAAAGCCCCGGGCUCAACCUGGGAAGUGCAUCCAAAACUGGCGAGCUAGAGUAGGGCAGAGGGUGGUGGAAUUUACUGUGUAGCGGUGAAAUGCGUAGGUAUAGGAAGGAACACCAGUGGCGAAGGAGACCACCUGGGCUCAUACUGACACUGAGGUGCGAAAGCGUGGGGAGCAAACAGG
Molecule: ribosomal RNA, 429 nt
Filed under: Pseudomonadota bacterium
Lineage: Bacteria; Pseudomonadati; Pseudomonadota
Description: Proteobacteria bacterium partial 16S ribosomal RNA
Rfam family: Bacterial small subunit ribosomal RNA
Source: RNAcentral